CAGGAUGAACGCUGGCGGCGUGCUUAACACAUGCAAGUUGCGCGGUGAUCUCAAGAAGUUUCGGACGGAAAGGGAGAGCAGCAGCGGACGGGUGAGUAAAGCACAAGGACUUGUCCCGAAGAGGGGGACAACUGUGGGAAACCACAGCUAAUACCCCAUAAGCCGAGAGGUGAAAGCAGCGAUGCGCUUUAGGAGAGACUUGUGUCCUAUCAGGUAGUUGGUGAGGUAACGGCUCACCAAGCCGAAGACGGGUAGCCGGACUGAGAGGUUGUACGGCCACAUUGGAACUGAGAGACGGUCCAGACUCCUACGGGAGGCAGCAGUGGGGAAUAUUGGGCAAUGGGGGGCCAACCCUGACCCAGCGACGCCGCGUGAGGGAAGACAGCCUUCGGGUUGUAAACCUCUGUUGCAGGGGAAGAAGAAAGUGACGGUACCCUGCGAGGAAGCUCCGGCAAACUACGUGCCAGCCGCCGC
This 474-nucleotide ribosomal RNA is filed under the name uncultured bacterium. Its description in RNAcentral is "bacterial SSU rRNA". It matches the Rfam family "Bacterial small subunit ribosomal RNA", at positions 25 to 518 of the family's 1533-position model. The record is from RNAcentral.